Molecule: long non-coding RNA, 616 nt
Organism: Bombyx mori (domestic silkworm)
Lineage: Eukaryota; Metazoa; Arthropoda; Insecta; Lepidoptera; Bombycidae
Exons: 2
Source: RefSeq, a predicted model, not a curated record
GAACUACAUUUUUUUUAUCAAUUCGAACAACUAAUUUAUUGUAUUAGCUACGUAUAACGUACGUCUUUGGCACUCGUACAUACACACAGCUAGCAACACUCAUUAAUUAAUGACAAGUGCUUGUUCACAGUUCCGUCCGAAUAUUCCCUUAGGCCUUGGUGAGACAUAAACUGGCCUGGCAGCGUAGUAGACCGGGUUGGAUGGCGGCGCCAUAGGCGAGGAUGCGAUUUGCGGCUGGAGUCCGGACGGUGCACCCUCUGGGGCGCCGCGUACCACUCGAGACGGAGACCCCGGAGCUGGCUGAUAUAAAGGAGCAGCCACCUGAAAAAAUAUAUUUAAUGAUGCCAUAAUCAAAAAAGAUCGUCAUAAAGUCGAAUAUAAUUAUUUUCAAAUUUGAAUUUAACAUUAAUAAUUGUUAUUUGCUAAAUUAUAUUGUCAAUUUCUUGUGCCUGUUAAGUGAUUUUCAUCAUAUUUUUUGUUUACUUGCAAUAGCACAAGUAUAAUGUAUUGUAAAUAAGCUACCCUAAUGUAGAUUAAACGUUUAGAUUUUUUCAGGAUAACUGUAAACAAACAAAUAGUAAUACAAUAUGUCAUUAAUAAACGACCUUUACUGAUA